This 253-nucleotide ribosomal RNA is filed under the name uncultured bacterium. Its description in RNAcentral is "partial 16S ribosomal RNA". It matches the Rfam family "Bacterial small subunit ribosomal RNA", at positions 524 to 776 of the family's 1533-position model. The record is from RNAcentral.
UACGAAGGUGGCAAGCGUUGUUCGGAUUUACUGGGCGUAAAGGGAGCGUAGGCGGUUCGGUAAGCCCUCCGGGAAAUCUUCCGGCUUAACCGGGAAAGGUCGGAGGGGACUGCUUUGCUAGAGGACGGGAGAGGAGCGCGGAAUUCCCGGUGUAGCGGUGAAAUGCGUAGAGAUCGGGAGGAAGGCCGGUGGCGAAGGCGGCGCUCUGGAACGUUCCUGACGCUGAGGCUCGAAAGCGUGGGGAGCAAACAGG